GUCUACAAACAUACCACCCUGAACAAGCUUGAUCUCGUCUGAUCUCGGAAGCUAAGCAGGGUCAGGCCUGGUUAGUACUUGAAUGGGAGACCACCUAGGAAGACCAGGUGCUGUAGGCA
This 119-nucleotide ribosomal RNA is filed under the name Pteropus alecto (black flying fox). The record is from RNAcentral. Lineage: Eukaryota; Metazoa; Chordata; Mammalia; Chiroptera; Pteropodidae.